Molecule: long non-coding RNA, 1591 nt
Organism: Macaca mulatta (Rhesus monkey)
Lineage: Eukaryota; Metazoa; Chordata; Mammalia; Primates; Cercopithecidae
Source: Ensembl
UCUCUGGAUAUCUUAGCUUAGGUUCCCUGAAAGCAUAGCCUCUGAAAGGGACUUUGGUACAGGUUGUUUGAACAGUGAUUUAUUUCAGCGAGCAGAAUGAGGAAGCAGAGAUGGUUAGCAUGUGGAUGAAGGAAGCUACUAUUAGGGUGAGUUAUUCAAGUUGCUGCUGUGAGCUAGGAAAGCAUAGUGCCUGAAAUUCCCUGAGAGACAUGAUGAAUACCCCGGGAGGGUCGUCCUAAAGAUGGAAAAGGUCUGAGCAUCUGUGCAUCAGCUGUCAUUAGCAAAGGGCUGCCUUCAAGGGUGUUAAUCCUCCUGUCCUUCUAAGCUACACAAGCACUAGGAUUGCAUGGACACCACCCAUGCCUCCCUGAAGGACUGUGGAGUCCAAGGUGACCCAGGGGGAGAACAAGGAAGAGGAGCACUGUGUGGCCGAAGGUGAGAUGUUGCCAGCAAGAAUUGUUUAUACCUGUCGUAGUUGGAAAUCAGAGACCAGGUCCAAAGGAUGUGGAUUAGGACCUACAAUGUGUCUGCUGAAAAACAGUGUGAGCAGAGCUCUCCACUCACCGCCUACUCACCAACCGAACCCACAAUGGACCAUGACAUGGCUGACUGAGUCAUUGCUGUCCUCCUGAGCCACGUCUUUACAACCCCUACUCCCACGCGACAUCUCGUUGAAGUGUCAGAUAAGCUGCAGAAAGCAGAACUAUAUGAAAGCCUGUGUCAUCUGUUAUUUCUGUGCCAAGGUGGACCAAACCCUAAAGAGAACUUAAGCAGCAGAGCAUAUAAUUACUAUAAAUUCAUUGCAAAUCUGCCCCUCUUCUUUGCUUUACAAUUGUACGUAUAUAUGUGAGAUAUAUAUAUGUGUGUGUGUGUGUAUAUAUACACAUACAUACAUACAUCCUUCUUUUUACCAGCGUAAAUUUGCUCUCCGUCAGUCCUGCUCUCUGACCUCAUCAGUAAUAAUCCUUUUGGAUCCCCAACUCCUCAAUUCUGACUUCUAAAAGCGACUUUUUUCUUUUUUCUGACCUGCUGGCCCUCCCUAAAAACCCCUACUCAAAACAGUCUAAGAUUCACUUUUACUUUCUCAAUAUGCUUUACAUAUUUUUUUAAUUAAAAAUCCGAAAAGGUAUUUUUCAAAGUCAUAUCAAUUUUUAUUUGUACAAUGACAGAAAGACAACAGUAUACUUGAUGUUCUUGAUUUUGACCCACAGUUAUUCCGUCAUAUUCAUAGCAAAAUUUGUUAAGUAUCUUUCAAGAAUUCUUAACAGGGUCCUCCUGUUCUCCUCCUCCGCCACAUGGUACUCAUUCUUUCUGCACAAAACAUAUUGAAAACAUAGCUAAAGAAUAUUAAUUUGAAAAGACAACAGAUUCUUAGCUUUUUCAGAAUACCCACAGUUGUAGGUCUGACGGAACAGUCUAGCUAUACUACGUUUUGAUUAUGUUUUCAGUUUGUUUCUGCUUCCUCUACAUAGACAGAGGCAUGACCAGCUAUCCUUGCAAUCUCAGACAUCUUAUCGGUAGUCAGUUAUGACUUACAGAGAGACAAUUGUGAGUAUCCAAUGGCUUCAGAUCUUUGAGAAAAUCAGACCAG